AGGCGAAUGUCAUCUUUUGGUUUUGAUAGGAGGUUCGGGAGGACUCGCUGGCCAUUCGAUGGCAGCCCAUUUGUUGUUCUACCCCGAGUGGUAGACAAAGGAUCCUAUAUUGAUUUUACCAGGGUGGUAAAUCAAUGGUCACUAUUGGUCCUGGUCCUAUUUGUCCUAUGGUCACUACGGUGUAAGGAGGUAUGGUAGGACUCG
Molecule: long non-coding RNA, 204 nt
Filed under: Panax ginseng (ginseng)
Lineage: Eukaryota; Viridiplantae; Streptophyta; Magnoliopsida; Apiales; Araliaceae
Description: long non-coding RNA (PGIN_LNC011507)
Source: RNAcentral